AGACACAAGAUGGGAAGAUGGGGGAAGCGAAGGAUGAAGAGCUAGGGCAGAGCCUGAGUUGUGAGGAGGGAGCAAAAAUCUGCCCCCAGGACUGUCUGAGUCCACACUGGCUGCUCGGCUCAUGGUGCAGGUGUGUGGGAGCCCUCCUCCACAUGGUCUCCACAGCAACCCGCCACUCUAAUCUGCUGAAUAUGAAAAGAAGAAACAGAAAGAGAAAAGCCAUCCACCCCCUUCUGCUCCAUCCAUGAGUCCAAAAGAAGGAUAUCGUCUCCAGGCAUUCCUGAUAAUACCCCAGCCAUUGCCCUGGCAACAGUCACAGGGAGCCGGCAUGGCCUGUGGAGAAAGCAGUCCCUGUCUCUAGCUCAGGCGGCUUCCUCCUCCUCCUCUUCUCCCACCACGGAUCUCCUAAUAGCCCCUAACAAUUGUGCACCCCACUUUUGGCCCACUGCCUCAUGCCCUCCAGCCUGCCAGCGGACCACUGACACAGAGAAUACAGAAAUCCACAUACUUUUCUCCUAAUGGUACUGAAAUGAUACUUGCAGGCAUGCAUACAGGCUUCUAAGUGUGUAUAGAUGAGAUUGUGUGUGUGUGUGUCUGUGUGUCUGUGCCUGUGUAUAGAUUUGAAAGACUCUUCACCUCUAGCUCCCCUGCAGAUGAACUGUGUUUACACGCUGAAUGAAGAAGUGGAGACUACUUCUUAUCAAAGCUAAGAGUUUGGAAAAGCCACCGCUUACAACUCCCAUUCUCUCAGCUGAGCUGGCUGAGGAGGUUUGCAGAGCCCUUUGCUCUGAGCCUCAUACCCAGCAGUGAAAGCUCUCAUUUGUCUUAAGGCCAUCAUGUUGAUGCAGCUGGCUUUGACACUGCUUACCUCAGCAUUUUUUUUUUUUUCGGUUGAAAGACAGAAGGCUUCCUUGUGAUCCCAGCCUUUUCCUAUCAAAUGACACUCAGCCUGGGUUUGGGUGACUUAUUUACUGGCACUAGACCAGUAAAAACAAAAAUGAACGUUCGCAACUAAUAAAUCCUCGUGCUUAGAUAGCUAGAGCCACAGCGGUGGGAUUACACCAGAAUGCUCGGCCGUUACUGGAGGGCUCCCAGGCUGUGCGGAGCCUAGUAAGUCAGAGGAGGAAAGGGGACCAAAUCAAGGAGCAGAGAAAUUACGUGCAGCAUGGGUUUUGGACAAUGAAAACCUUUUAUCUUCACUCUACGAUGUGCUUUCCGGGUGGGAGAUUCUACAGGCAGAAAUAGGGUGCACUGUGUUUGCAUCAUCGCGGUGAGCCUGCUAAGCUUGCCACCUUGACCUUCCUUUCUUGAAAAUCAAACCACACCCAUCUUCAGUAAGAUGAAAAAAGACAGCUAAGAUUCUGGACAGCGCAAUCACAGCUUUUCAGAGAACUGAAAGGAGCUAUUUUUAUAGAGGGCACGAGGUCAAGAAUGUUUAGCAAACAAAUUGAAUGUCAUCUACUCGCAGAGAAUUCUCCAAGGACCUUCCUUCUCCCAGGCCCUUGUGGAAAGUGAGGGCACCUCUGAGAGGCGGGUGCAAUGAUGUUUUUCCUUGUUUCAGAAUUGAUCUUUGGUAUAGAAGAACAUUUUUAUGUUAAUAUAAAUCCAAAAGAAUCCCACCAUAAAAUAUCGACACAGCCAAAGCUUUCCUUCUUCCACGACUACUUCUAAGACUCUGAGCAUCCACACUUCCUUUAAGGUUAGGUCUGCUGGGGCAGCUACCAUUGUGUCACAGUGGAAAACUUCCUCAUAGGAUUUAACCUGAUGGAACUAAAUAGAGAUUAAAAAGCAGAGGAUUUUUUUAAAGUAUAAGUCAAAUGGCCUUUGUACAAGCUAAUGGGCAUUUGACUAUUUGGAAAGAUGAUUGACAGCCAUUGAUUUCUCUCUUCCUUUUUAAUUUUGGCUUCAUGACUGAGAGACUACCACAAAGGAUAUUUACUGGUGACAUAUUAGAACACAGCCACCCAGCGGUUCGACUUGUUUGUAUAAUUCCUUUAAUCUAUGUUGUUGCCACUGUCAUCCUGUUUAGCUGUGAUGUCCCCUCAUUACAAAGAAGAUACCUACAAUGAGUGGAUAAUGGGAGCUAUGCUCUCUCAAAGCACCCAAUGAAAGAACAUAUUACAAGUCUUUCAGAGCUCUGCGAAAUUAUUGCAUCUGAUGGCUUUGACAGUGCCAUCCUUAAGGUAAAACCAGAUGAAUCAAAUGUGCAUAGACUAGUUCAGUCGUCUCAUUAGGAAGCUUUUAGAAUGCUUGCUGUCCACCAAUGACGCAGCCUCUUUAAAUGCUUUCAUAAGUCUUCAGGGUUGAAAUGUAAUGUCUCUGUGAUGGAACAUAGUUAGACACUCCUCCCUCUCCAUGGAGAGAGAGAGAGAGAGAGAGAGAGAGAGAGAGAGAGAGAGAGAGAGAGAGGAUGGGAAUGAAAUAUGUAUACUCUCUACUCAUUGUCUCUAAGGAUAAUCAAAUACUGUGUAUGUGUGCAGUGUGUGAAUGUAUGUACAUGUUUAUGUAUGGGUGGUACACGCAUAUGAAUAUUCACAUCCAUGUGUAUGCAUGCAGAGUCUGGAGAAGGGUGUAAUGUAUUUUCCUUGGCCUGAGACUGGGUCUCUCACUGGAUAGAAAGUGUGCCAUUUUUAGUAGGCUUUUACCCGGGACCUGGAUUUAUCUCGGAUCCUUGUGUUUAUAAAGCAUGUAUUCUUAACUACUGAGCUAUCUCCCCAGUCCCAAGGAUCAAUUAUCUUCUGAUUAUUUAAAUACUUAGAAAAUGAGCUAUCAUGAAUUCAAAUAAUCUUUAAAUGUUGUG
This 2800-nucleotide long non-coding RNA is filed under the name Mus musculus (house mouse). RNAcentral's name for it is "predicted gene 11412". Lineage: Eukaryota; Metazoa; Chordata; Mammalia; Rodentia; Muridae. The record is from RNAcentral.